Pocillopora verrucosa is the source of this 393-nucleotide non-coding RNA. NCBI's taxonomy places the organism in Eukaryota, Metazoa, Cnidaria, Anthozoa, Scleractinia, Pocilloporidae. The record is from RefSeq and is a predicted model, not a curated record.
CUCAUUGCCGACUAAGCCGAAAUGGUGAAGAAGGAAAUGGAUAUACCGCGGGAGACAGAGGUCAUCAAGAAAUGUAAUUGAAGGUGGCGCAGAUAUUGAAAUGACUUUGUAAGAGGGCGAUUAAACAUAAAUUUUUCUGCUUAGACUGCUGAUGUGAAGCAGUAAGCUGAAGCGGAACAUUUUAUAACGAUUAUUUUAUCGCUGCUUUCUACACCGCGAGAAUGAAAAUAAUCACGAAAAUUGUAUCAUGUUCAGCUCUUAGAUAACCAUCAGGUCCACUAUUCGGGGAUUCCCCGUCUAGGACUCUGAAGAUAUUUGCGUUUACAUUAAUCGAUGGCUAGCAUCUUGCGACUAGAGAAAUAGUUCUAAUAAUAAUAAAGGCUGAGACAAUUU